CUUGUUAAAAGUAUUACUUUGUUUCACAAUAUACAAAAAAAGAAAAAGAAAAACUCCAUCCACCGGAAUAAUAUUGACAAAAACAUGACAGUAGUAGAUCAUCAGUACAAUGUAGUGCAACAUGUUUCACAACUCUGAACACUGACGAUUAAUCACCAUAUUUACACUCCGAUUCACUUUGAUUCAAAUCAGACGCAUAAGAGUUAAAGAGACAAGAUGAAUAAAUAAAUCAGUACAUGUUUCUGUGUGUUUCAAGUGAUUUCCAUCAGGUAAAACUGCAUCUUGUAGUUGUAUUAAAGCAGAUUAUGAAGAGUUUCGUCCAGCUCAGAACGAGUUAUUAAGUUUAUUUGAUAUGAAUCAUUUUCAAACAAAAACAACAAGUAAUUUUAAUCAAAUG
Centropristis striata (black sea bass) is the source of this 397-nucleotide long non-coding RNA. RefSeq lists it as uncharacterized. The record is from RefSeq and is a predicted model, not a curated record. Lineage: Eukaryota; Metazoa; Chordata; Actinopteri; Perciformes; Serranidae. The transcript has 2 exons.